This 301-nucleotide ribosomal RNA is filed under the name uncultured bacterium. RNAcentral describes it as "partial 16S ribosomal RNA". It matches the Rfam family "Bacterial small subunit ribosomal RNA", at positions 509 to 807 of the family's 1533-position model. The record is from RNAcentral.
CAGCAGCCGCGGUAACACAGAGGGUGCGAGCGUUAAUCGGAUUUACUGGGCGUAAAGCGUGCGUAGGCGGCUUUUUAAGUCGGAUGUGAAAUCCCUGAGCUUAACUUAGGAAUUGCAUUCGAUACUGGGAAGCUAGAGUAUGGGAGAGGAUGGUAGAAUUCCAGGUGUAGCGGUGAAAUGCGUAGAGAUCUGGAGGAAUACCGAUGGCGAAGGCAGCCAUCUGGCCUAAUACUGACGCUGAGGUACGAAAGCAUGGGGAGCAAACAGGAUUAGAUACCCGAGUAGUCCCUGUCUCUUAUAC